This 253-nucleotide ribosomal RNA is filed under the name uncultured bacterium. Its description in RNAcentral is "partial 16S ribosomal RNA". It matches the Rfam family "Bacterial small subunit ribosomal RNA", at positions 524 to 776 of the family's 1533-position model. The record is from RNAcentral.
UACGUAGGGGGCAAGCGUUGUCCGGAUUCAUUGGGCGUAAAGGGCGUGUAGGCGGCCAGGUAGGUCGGUUGUGAAAACUGGAGGCUCAACCUUCAGAGGUCGACCGAAACCAUCUGGCUAGAGUCCGGGAGAGGAGAGUGGAAUUCCUGGUGUAGCGGUGAAAUGCGCAGAUAUCAGGAAGAACACCCGUGGCGAAAGCGGCUCUCUGGAACGGUACUGACGCUGAGACGCGAAAGCGUGGGGAGCAAACAGG